AACCAGCACCUCAAGUGGUCAGGAUGAUUAUUGGGGCCUAAAGCAUCCGUAGCCGGCUUUGUAAGUUUUCGGUUAAAUCCAUGCGCUCAACGUAUGGGCUGCCGGGAAUACUGCAAAGCUAGGGAGUGGGAGAGGUAGACGGUACUCGGUAGGAAGGGGUAAAAUCCUUUGAUCUAUUGAUGACCACCUGUGGCGAAGGCGGUCUACCAGAACACGUCCGACGGUGAGGGAUGAAAGCUGGGGGAGCAAACCGGAUUAGAUACCCGGGUAGUCCCAGCUGUAAACUAUGCAAACUCAGUGAUGCAUUGGCUUGAUGCCAAUGCAGUGCUGCAGGGAAGCCGUUAAGUUUGCCGCCUGGGAAGUACGUACGCAAGUAUGAAACUUAAAGGAAUUGGCGGGGGAGCACCACAAGGGGUGAAGCCUGCGGUUCAAUUGGAGUCAACGCCAGAAAUCUUACCCGGAGAGACAGCAGAAUGAAGGUCAAGCUGAAGACUUUACCAGACAAGCUGAGAGGUGGUGCAUGGCCGUCGCCAGCUCGUGCCGUGAGAUGUCCUGUUAAGUCAGGUAACGAGCGAGAUCCCUGCCUCUAGUUGCCACCACUACUCUCAGGAGUAGUGGGGCGAAUUAGCGGGACCGCCGUAGUUAAUACGGAGGAAGGAAGGGGCCACGGCAGGUCAGUAUGCCCCGAAACUCUGGGGCCACACGCGGGCUGCAAUGGUAACGACAAUGUGUUCCGAAUCCGAAAGGAGGAGGUAAUCCUCAAACGUUACCACAGUUAUGACUGAGGGCUGCAACUCGCCCUCACGAAUAUGGAAUCCCUAGUAACUGCGUGUCACUAUCGCGCGGUGAAUACGUCCCUGCUCCU
RNAcentral lists this ribosomal RNA (865 nucleotides) under uncultured archaeon. RNAcentral describes it as "SSU rRNA". It matches the Rfam family "Archaeal small subunit ribosomal RNA", at positions 474 to 1337 of the family's 1478-position model. The record is from RNAcentral.